This 458-nucleotide ribosomal RNA is filed under the name uncultured bacterium. RNAcentral describes it as "bacterial SSU rRNA". It matches the Rfam family "Bacterial small subunit ribosomal RNA", at positions 1 to 507 of the family's 1533-position model. The record is from RNAcentral.
AGUAGUUUGAUCAUGGCUACGAGGACGACGCUGGCGGUGUGCUUCACACAUGCAAGUCGAACGAGGUAGCAAUACCUAGUGGCGGACGGGUGAGUAACGCGUGGGAAUCUGCCUUUAGAUGGGGGAUAACGGGUCGAAAGACUCGCUAAUACCGCAUAUGACGAAAGUUGAAAGGAGUAAUCCGUCUAAAGAUGAGCCCGCGUCCGAUUAGCUAGUUGGUAGAGUAAAAGCCUACCAAGGCGACGAUCGGUAGCUGGUCUGAGAGGAUGAUCAGCCACAAUGGGACUGAGACACGGCCCAUACUCCUACGGGAGGCAGCAGUGGGGAAUUUUACGCAAUGGGCGAAAGCCUGACGUAGCGACACCGCGUGAGCGAAGAAGCCCCUUGGGGUGUAAAGCUCUGUCAGCUGGAACGAAAAAAUGACGGUACCAGCAGAGGAAGCAUCGGCUAACUACGUG